AACGAACGCUGGCGGCAUGCCUAACACAUGCAAGUCGAACGAGACCUUCGGGUCUAUUGGCGCACGGGUGCGUAACGCGUGGGAACCUGCCCUUAGGUUCGGAAUAACUCCCCGAAAGGGGUGCUAAUACCGGAUAAUGUCUUCGGACCAAAGAUUUAUCGCCUUUGGAUGGGCCCUCGUUGGAUUAGCUAGUUGGUAGGGUAAAAGCCUACCAAGGCGACGAUCCAUAGCUGGUCUGAGAGGAUGAUCAGCCACACUGGGACUGCGACCCGGCCCGGAAUCCUACGGGAGGCAGCAGUGGGGAAUAUUGGACAAUGGGCGAAAGCCUGAUAAAGCAAUGCCGCGUGAGUGAUGAAGGCCUUAGGGUUGUAAAGCUCUUUUACCCGGGAUGAUAAUGACAGUACCGGGAGAAUAAGCUCCGGCUAACUACGUG
RNAcentral lists this ribosomal RNA (433 nucleotides) under uncultured bacterium. Its description in RNAcentral is "partial 16S ribosomal RNA". It matches the Rfam family "Bacterial small subunit ribosomal RNA", at positions 29 to 507 of the family's 1533-position model. The record is from RNAcentral.